CUUGGUAGGUUUGGUCCAACAGAAGCCCCUGUUCGAAAGAUAGCUGCGUACGCGUCUACCCUAAAUUAGGGUAUUGUUCCUCCGCUUCACCAUCUCCGAGCGCGGCGACGCGACACAGUAAACCAUGACUCACCCCUGCAGUGAGCUUAGUGAAGCAGCAGAUCCUCAUGGUUCAAACUUGGCUGCUGAUCCAGUUCCUGACUUAAGCAAUCAACCCUUGAAGGAGGGGGAAUGCAGAAGAGUUUGUUUCAUGUUGAACUUAGGAGGGGGUAGUCGAUAUGGGCACUCCCUAUAUGAAGUAAAGACCAAAGGCGGAAAAAUCUUGGGAAAAGGUGGUGAAUUUCUUGAACCAGUAUCCAAGUUAUUCGAUACAAGUAACCCUCAUGUUCGACAGGAUCAUAUCCUGGCAGCUACCAGGUUCAACAGCCGUACCAAAUUGUAUAUGUUGCAAUAUGAGGGUUAUAGCAACUGCAGCACUCGCAAGAAUUACUCAUAUCAAGCACACACUUUUGACAUAAUGACUAGGGAAUUGAAGCCGUUCAAGCCCCCUGAGCAGCAUAAGACAGCUGCACUUUUAAUUUCAGCUUAUGGAAAGCUUUAUCAUCUCGCACAACCCUCAGCCUUUGAGUAUGGAAUGCCGGACCCUGCCUUUGAGGUUUAUGAUCCACACGCCGGCUCCUGGAAGAGAUGCUCUCCGUUUCCUCGCUAUGGGAAUAAGGAUUGGUCUAGCUCUAACAUACGUGGUCAUGCUAUUUGUUACGGCUGUAUUUUGGUUUCUGUAGAUGAGCCUCCUGAAUCUCCGUUGUGGGUAUAUCAUGUGACUUUGGAUAAAUGGAGUGAGGUUAAAAUCCCUAUCAAGGAGGAUUCAGAUUAUAUUUAUUAUACUUUUGCAGGGAAAGCUGUAGUUAUAGACGAUACUAUUUAUGCCAUAUCUGGAAUCGAAGAAGUUAUAACAUUUUCUCUUAUGAUGAAACAAAUGGCAGAUGGUAGUAUUGAGUACUCUGUGAACAAGCCGCGUCAGCUGCAUGGCUUGCGGACUUGUUUUUUCAUGGAUUCUGAUUGCUAUAAAAGAAGUGAGUGUUUGGUUCAUUUGGGGGGGUUGAACUUUUGCCUUCUGCAAAGUAUCAUGAAAUAUUAUAACAGGCAACGUGUGUGGAUCACCACAUUUGAUAUCAUAUACAAAGAAGGAAAGAGGCGCAUCCGUACUUUAGAUACUACUAUGCGUGAAAUUGAUAUCAACUGUCUUGGUCGAUUUCGUAUUGAAUCAGGCUUCACGCUAGAAUGUGAAGAAGAAAGAGAGAUUGUUAGCACCAGCAGCAUGAUGCAGCCAACUGAUGAUCCUCGAUUGUGCAAGCUUCAGCAGGCGGUAAAUGACAAGAUAAGGAAGCAGAUUCGGAGACGGAGACAGAAGACAUCGAAGCCGAGAUCACGAAAGUUAGCCUUGUUGGGUAAUCUGUUCAGACCCUGUCGAGAACCAAAGUUUGGUGUUUACUGAAAUCAUAUAACAAGGCCACAUUCUAGUGUUAAUGAGUUGGCUUACUGGUGUUUUAGUUUGAUUUGGAAUGCUGGUCAACGUCGUCGAGCUCUACAGAGCGAGAUUGGUCUUCAACGAAUCCCGGUGUUUUUUGCAAAUCGUAGUCUGAUCGCUCAUAGAGAUGGACAGAGAAUAAGCUUUCAUUCAUAUUCGUUAUCAGGAAGCGGUGGGUCGGGUGGAGAAGUUCGAUCAUGAAGUGGAGGAGGAGAGGGAGGUCACGUGAUCGGAGAUCGAGAAAAGGUUGCAGCGGACGGUGAUGUUGCAGCAGACAUCGAGUCGGGUGCCAGACAAAUUCGAGUGGCGGUGUUAUAAUAAAGACAGCUCUUCUAUUUUGUAUCGAUUCUAAUGGAUUAUAUUGUUGUAUAUAGGACUUGUAUAUAUAAGGGCUGGGUAUAUUUGGUUGAUCCAUGGAUUCGACGUUUCUGGAGGUCCAACAAUUGGGGUAAGGUGAAGCCUGGGUUUCGAUUUGAGCCAAGUCUGCGGAAUG
RNA transcript from Argentina anserina (silverweed cinquefoil), 2021 nucleotides. RefSeq lists it as uncharacterized. The transcript has 6 exons. Lineage: Eukaryota; Viridiplantae; Streptophyta; Magnoliopsida; Rosales; Rosaceae. The record is from RefSeq and is a predicted model, not a curated record.